GUGAAUCAUCGAAUCUUUGAACGCAAAUUGCACUCUCCUCGGAGAGUAUGCCUGUUUGAGGGUCAGCCUAAAAAAAAUCGACAUCGUUGCUGUUUCGCGGUGGCGUUCGUCGGAAAUUGGGUUAUCUUAAAUCUUUGGGUUAAGCGACUUAAAAUUUUCUCUACGAUUUUAUCUGCGUGUCUAUGAGAUUUGUCUUUACACGCGUAAA
RNAcentral lists this unclassified non-coding RNA (208 nucleotides) under Glomeraceae sp. Its description in RNAcentral is "partial contains 5.8S ribosomal RNA and internal transcribed spacer 2". The stretch from base 1 to 65 matches the Rfam family "5.8S ribosomal RNA", at positions 84 to 154 of the family's 154-position model. Lineage: Eukaryota; Fungi; Glomeromycota; Glomeromycetes; Glomerales; Glomeraceae. The record is from RNAcentral.